Molecule: long non-coding RNA, 292 nt
Filed under: Elaeis guineensis (African oil palm)
Lineage: Eukaryota; Viridiplantae; Streptophyta; Magnoliopsida; Arecales; Arecaceae
Description: long non-coding RNA (EGUI_LNC035130)
Source: RNAcentral
AUGGUAUAGCAGAUUAAUCCAAACCAUUGGUAAGCUCUAUAAAAAGGCCUAUAUUUUGUUGGAAAAUCAUUUUAUUGUUUUCUUGUGUGGAAGUUCUGUCGAGAUUCUUCCAGAGUUUUCUCAGCACCACCGAAGGCGGAAAGGAGAUUUCUUAACAUUGUCGAAGCCAAAGAAGAGAUCACUGCAGUCAAGAGUUCCUCAUAAGCUUCCUCAGAACUUCUUUUUUAUCUGUUAGGUAGACUCGUUCGUUCCAACUCCUUUUUUCCACAACCCUAGGAUUUUAGGUCCUUGC